RNAcentral lists this ribosomal RNA (124 nucleotides) under Phaseolus lunatus (lima bean). RNAcentral's name for it is "partial 5.8S ribosomal RNA". It matches the Rfam family "5.8S ribosomal RNA", at positions 36 to 154 of the family's 154-position model. Rfam says of the family: 5.8S ribosomal RNA (5.8S rRNA) is a component of the large subunit of the eukaryotic ribosome. It is transcribed by RNA polymerase I as part of the 45S precursor that also contains 18S and 28S rRNA. RNAcentral also lists the same sequence under 1 other name. The record is from RNAcentral. Lineage: Eukaryota; Viridiplantae; Streptophyta; Magnoliopsida; Fabales; Fabaceae.
AUGAAGAACGCAGCGAAAUGCGAUACUUGGUGUGAAUUGCAGAAUCCCGUGAACCAUCGAGUCUUUGAACGCAAGUUGCGCCCAAAGCCAUUAGGCUGAGGGCACGCCUGCCUGGGUGUCACAC